GGGGAUGUAGCUCAGCUGGGAGAGCGCCACGUUCGCAUCGUGGAAGUCGAGGGUUCGAGUCCCUUCAUCUCCACCA
This 76-nucleotide transfer RNA is filed under the name Bacillota bacterium. Its description in RNAcentral is "Firmicutes bacterium (anaerobic digester metagenome) tRNA-Ala". It matches the Rfam family "tRNA". Rfam says of the family: Transfer RNA (tRNA) molecules are approximately 80 nucleotides in length. Their secondary structure includes four short double-helical elements and three loops (D, anti-codon, and T loops). RNAcentral also lists the same sequence under 1 other name. Lineage: Bacteria; Bacillati; Bacillota. The record is from RNAcentral.